This is a long non-coding RNA of Orcinus orca (killer whale), 688 nucleotides long. RefSeq lists it as uncharacterized. The record is from RefSeq and is a predicted model, not a curated record. Lineage: Eukaryota; Metazoa; Chordata; Mammalia; Artiodactyla; Delphinidae. The transcript is spliced from 2 exons.
CAUUCUAGGAAGGAAGCGAGGCCCUACCACUAUGUGACUUGAGUGUCUCGCUCUUGAAAGCUUUGAAAAUGCCUGUGAACACACCCAAAUGAGGGAUUCCAAAAGAAUUUAGGGGGCUGACUCCACAAAGGCAGAAUAGAAUAUAGAUUCUCAGUUACCCAGUGACCAUCAAUAAUGAUGCAGGAGAAAACAAAGAUCUUAGCCUUGGUCCCCCAUGAUCGGACUGGGUAACUUCCAUAAGUUUCACCUGUAUGGUACACUCUGACUCUGCAACCAGAACUCUGCACACUGGAGACAAGACAAUUAUAGUGAAAAGAAUGACAUCCAUCUGAAUUAUGUCUCAGUAAAUAAAAUCGUUUCAGUUUCCCAAGCUCUUAAUCUACAGAAGAUACUACGCUAAGUACAUUGCAUUCCUUAUCCUGUUCAAGACUCUCCAAAACCCUAAGAGAGAAUUCUCAGAUUCAAAACCCUAGGGCUUCCCUGGUGGCGCAGUGGUUGAGAGUCCGCCUGCCGAUGCAGGGAACACGGGUUCGUGCCCCGGUCCGGGAAGAUCCCACAUGCCGCGGAGUGGCUGGGCCCGUGAGCCAUGGCCGCUGAGCCUGAGCGUCCGGAGCCUGUGCUCCGCAACGGGAGAGGCCACAACAGUGAGAGGCCCGUGUACCGCAAAGAAAAAAAUAAAUAAAUAAAA